Molecule: ribosomal RNA, 446 nt
Filed under: Astrothelium obtectum
Lineage: Eukaryota; Fungi; Ascomycota; Dothideomycetes; Trypetheliales; Trypetheliaceae
Description: mitochondrial SSU rRNA
Rfam family: Bacterial small subunit ribosomal RNA
Source: RNAcentral
ACUUGGGAGAAUGCUUCUUAUUAUAAUAAAAAUGAAUGUAUGUUUUUAAUAUAGUUAAGAAUUCAUUAAACUUGAAUAUAAUUCUAGGUAAGAUAUUGAUAAUGACAAAGUUUUAUCUAUUUGUCUUGACCAAAUCUUGUGCCAGCAGUCGCGGCAACACAAGGAAGACAAGUGUUAUUCAUCUUAAAUCGGUUUAAGGGGUACCUAGACGGUAAAUUAGGCCAUAGUAGGAACGUUUUUACUAGAGUUAUACAUGCAUGGGGAUUGUGUAAGUAUUACCAGAGUAGAGAUGAAAUUUUUUGAUACUGUUAAGACUGGUAAAGGCGAAAGCAAACCUUUAUAUAUUAACUGACGUUGAGGGACGAAGGCUUGGGGAGCAAACAGGAUUAGAUACCCUAAUAGUCCAGGCAGAGAAUUAUGAAUGUCAUAGAUUAGAUUAUAUAUAA